UACGUAGGGGGCAAGCGUUGUCCGGAUUUAUUGGGCGUAAAGAGCGUGUAGGCGGCCAUGUAGGUCCGUUGUGAAAACUCGAGGCUCAACCUCGAGACGCCGAUGGAAACCAUCUGACUAGAGUCCGGAAGAGGAGAGUGGAAUUCCUGGUGUAGCGGUGAAAUGCGCAGAUAUCAGGAAGAACACCCGUGGCGAAGGCGGCUCUCUGGGACGGUACUGACGCUGAGACGCGAAAGCGUGGGGAGCAAACAGG
Molecule: ribosomal RNA, 253 nt
Filed under: uncultured bacterium
Lineage: Bacteria
Description: partial 16S ribosomal RNA
Rfam family: Bacterial small subunit ribosomal RNA
Source: RNAcentral